This 67-nucleotide transfer RNA is filed under the name Ergaula nepalensis. RNAcentral's name for it is "tRNA-Ser". The record is from RNAcentral. Lineage: Eukaryota; Metazoa; Arthropoda; Insecta; Blattodea; Corydiidae.
GAAAUAUGAAGUUCAAGUGAAAGCUGCUAACUUAUCACUCCAGCGGUUAAAUUCCGUUUAUAUUUCU